UCGACAUCCCCAGCACAUAAAGGAGCCCUUGACAUGUAGUGGCCCCUCAAUAAGUAUUUUUUGAAUUAUUGAAUGCUAUGCCUUUCUUUCUUAUUAUACCAGAAAUCUGAGAGGACACAAGAGGCCAGACCUGCCAUCUUACCCCCUCAGGGAGCCUGAGACUGAGCCAACAGAGCACAAAGCAUGCGGCAGGUAGAGACACGUGAUUAUAUCUGGGAGCCCUGAAUCUCGCCAUGCCUGAAGCCAGAGCUGCCCUUGGUCUUCUCACUUCCAUGAGCCAGAGAUAUGGAACAAAGAAUACAAGACUUAGCAGAGAGAAACGUCUACUCCAUGGAGGCACUCAACCAUGAAAACAUUUUUGAAAGAUAGAGAUGGGCACUGAACGAGGGAGGAAAUGCCUGAGCUGAGCAGGGCUGUUGUGCUCCUAGAAUGGAAUUAUGUGUAAGACAAUGCUUUGUGAACUAUAAAAUGAUGAACUCAUCUCAAGCAUUACUAUUAGAUAAUAAACUACUGAGAAACAUUCUCAGAAUUCAUCCAUUCAUCUUAUACUUGGUACCGUUCCAUUUUGAUCAUUAACUACCUACACACACGUCACUUUUUAAGUUCUGUAACUGUUCUUAAACUCAGGAAUGAUAACAGUGGUCAACACCUAUUGAAUGGUCAAUAUAUGCCACGUACCGUGCUGGGUGCUUUUCGUGCCCUUGUCUCUAUAAUCCUCAAAGAGUCCUAGGAGAUGGACACCAUAUGCCUAUUUUACAGAUGGCAAAACUGAGGUUCAAAAGAGUUAAGUAUUUGGCCUGAGGUCAAGUGGCAAGAAAGCUGCAGAGUCAUGAGCUUGGUCAAUAACCCAAGUAUUUGGAGCCCUUGGAAUGGAAGCUAUUAGCCACAGCACUAUUCUCUCUCCCAAGGAAGGUAUGAACCAAACAUUCUUCAAACCGGGCAGGAAGGAGCACUGCAUGCCCAGGAGUCCCUGGUGUGGCGACCGAACAGACAGCAGAGACUCUGUGUAUGCAGACUGCCAGACACUCCACUCGCUUCCCCCGAGUCACACAGGCUGAGCUGCUGCUGUGUUUUAAAAUACACGCAUCCAGGGGCGCCUGGGUGGCUCAGUCGGUUGAGCGUCCGACUUCGGCU
Herpailurus yagouaroundi (jaguarundi) is the source of this 1134-nucleotide long non-coding RNA. RefSeq lists it as uncharacterized. Lineage: Eukaryota; Metazoa; Chordata; Mammalia; Carnivora; Felidae. The record is from RefSeq and is a predicted model, not a curated record. The transcript is spliced from 3 exons.